GGUUAUCCAACAAGCUAUCACCUUCAGUGUGCUUCUGUAAAUGGAACAGGUACAUUUGAUUUGCUCUACUGUAAUGAGUACCUUUUUUUUUUGUUUUCCCUGCGUUCCCUUUACGAUGUUAGAAACUGUGAGGAUAGCAGUCUUGCUACGUAUACAAAAACCAUGUGUUGCAAUUGUUUUAGGUGUGUUCUCUAAAAAAAAAAAAAGGAUAUUUAAGUGUUUUGUUUCCCUCUGCUAUCUAUCAUUGGUUUUCAUGUUUGUAUGACCAUGUUGUCUUUUGAUACAGGGAUAUUCCUGCUCUGAGCUUUGAGUCUGCUUUGUUAUGAGCGGUAAUUGCCUCUACUUUAUUUGAUGUUCUAUAUAUAUAUAUAUAUAUAUAUAUUAUGAUGUUCUUAUAACAGAAAUAAAACAGCCUAAAUGAGUAGCUAAUGUAGUAUGUAUGCCUUUUCCAUGAAUGUCUUCCAUACAUACACAUGCCAAUGUUCAGGCCCCUUAAAGUGUCAACCAUGAACUGAAAUGCGUUCUUUUUUUAAAGCUAAUCCACCAAAAACCUAAACUAAGAAUACUUUUGGUGUUCAGCAGCUGUUAGGCUGAAAUCCUAACUUGGAGAUCUGUGAGCCUAACUUGACGCGUACAGAUCUUUAAAGUUAGGAUUCGGCCCUUACAUGCUAGAUUUAGUUCAAACCAAAGGAGCAGAAGACAACAUCAUUUUUGUGUGCUGUUUCACUGACGCUGAUGUUUGUGCUGUUUUUUCCCCCCCACAAUGAUGUUUCCUGUGGUGGCUGAGAGCGAGACAGUCCAGCACCUCCAGCCUGGGCUCCACUUUCAGAGAGACAAGACCUCCACAAGGCCACUUAUCAAGGUGCAGCCCUUUUUAGAGAAGAGUCUCGCAAGGAACCACCUCUGGACAAAGGUUUCUGUUUUUAGAGAGAGUUACUGUAUUUGUGAAGGCGGACUCAUCACUAUGACAUCAUCAUACAAAGCGGGGCAAAUUCCUGCAUACAGAAAUCAACAACAGUAUUGAAAUCUUCUGAGACUGACACUUGUGGCUUUUCCCCCAUGUGGGCAAGGCUCAAGGGAGGGUGCAAAUUAGGAAGAGGCAAAUGUGGCAGUCUUGGCAGAUUUUUUAUUUAUUCCGUCGUUGAUGUCUGUAAGCAGGAAGACGGGGCAUGUAUGAUGUCAUUUUGCAAAGUCAAUCUUGAGUAGACAUGAUGUCAUGACCUGAUUUGCUGAUUUUCAAAUAUGUUAUCAGCAUCUACUUCAGUUAUCAAAUGUUAUCAUAAUGAGUCAGUAUUAGACACAUUGUUACCAUAAUGAAUCAGUAUUAGACACAUUGUUACCAUAAUGAAUCAGUAUUAGACACAUUGUUACCAUAAUGAAUCAGUAUUAGACACAUUGUUACCAUAAUGAAUCAGUAUUAGACACAUUGUUACCAUAAUGAAUCAGUAUUAGACACAUUGUUACCAUAAUGAAUCAGUAUUGGACACAUUGUUACCAUAAUGAAUCAGUAUUAGACACAUUGUUACCAUAAUGAAUCAGUAUUAGACACAUUGGGUGAGAUUUUGGACCCAUUAUAGACUUUUGAGAUUUGUUCAUGAACUCAAUGUUUUGCUUAAGGAUUCUGAGAAAGUAUAAGGCAAUCAUGAUAAAUUGUAUUAGUUUGAUUGAACUUGAGUUUUAAUGUGGCUGUCUAUGCCAAAGUGACCAACAAUAAGGUAAUACUUUUUCUUGUUAUUGAGAAAUAUGGCCAGAUUCAUGUUAUCACUGGUAACAUUGCAAUUUUGUGUUUGUUUUUCAGGGUAAGUCGGAACUUCUCUUCCCUGCCUUGGUUCCCUCAGUCUCCUCUUUCUGCUUUGGUGCCCAUGUAAAACUCGAAACCAGGGAGAUGUUCAACGAUGAGCCCUGUGGAUAUUUCUCAGAAAAUGUUCAAACAGAAAUGUAUUUUUUUUAAAUGUUAUGUAACACGUUUGACUACAUCCUUCACUUUAUUCAUGUCAUCCAACCCAAAUGACUGCACACCACUGUUUCCUUAUGAUAUAACAUCAAUAUGCAUAUUCUGUCCUCUAUUGAGAACGUAACAACUUGUGUUCAUUGUCAUUUGUGUAUUACUAUAGUAAACAUAGGCACGGACUA
Molecule: long non-coding RNA, 2133 nt
Organism: Coregonus clupeaformis (lake whitefish)
Lineage: Eukaryota; Metazoa; Chordata; Actinopteri; Salmoniformes; Salmonidae
Exons: 2
Source: RefSeq, a predicted model, not a curated record